GACGAACGCUGGCGGCGUGCUUAACACAUGCAAGUCGAACGAUGAAGCCGGAGCUUGCUCUGGUGAAUUAGUGGCGAACGGGUGAGUAACACGUGAGUAACCUGCCCUUGACUCUGGGAUAACUGCGGGAAACUGUAGCUAAUACCGGAUACGACCCUCGGAGGCAUCUCCUGGGGGUGGAAAGAAUUUCGGUCAAGGAUGGACCCGCGGCCUAUCAGCUAGUUGGUGAGGUAAAGGCUCACCAAGGCGACGACGGGUAGCCGGCCUGAGAGGGUGAACGGCCACACUGGGACUGAGACACGGCCCAGACUCCUACGGGAGGCAGCAGUGGGGAAUAUUGCACAAUGGGCGCAAGCCUGAUGCAGCAACGCCGCGUGAGGGAUGACGGCCUUCGGGUUGUAAACCUCUUUUAGCAGGGAAGAAGCGAAAGUGACGGUACCUGCAGAAAAAGCACCGGCUAACUACGUGCCAGCCGCCGCAGUAA
This 484-nucleotide ribosomal RNA is filed under the name uncultured bacterium. RNAcentral describes it as "partial 16S ribosomal RNA". It matches the Rfam family "Bacterial small subunit ribosomal RNA", at positions 28 to 523 of the family's 1533-position model. The record is from RNAcentral.